RNAcentral lists this ribosomal RNA (480 nucleotides) under uncultured bacterium. RNAcentral describes it as "bacterial SSU rRNA". It matches the Rfam family "Bacterial small subunit ribosomal RNA", at positions 29 to 518 of the family's 1533-position model. The record is from RNAcentral.
AACGAACGCUGGCGGCGUGCUUAACACAUGCAAGUCGAACGGGGAUAUCGGAGUAGUAAUACGAGGAUAUUCUAGUGGCGGACGGGUGAGUAACGCGUGAGGAACCUGCCUUGGAGUGGGGAAUAACAGUCGGAAACGAUUGCUAAUACCGCAUGAUAUAUCGGAGCUGCAUGGCUUUGAUAUCAAAGAUUUAUCGGAGUUGGAUGAGCCCGCGUUGGAUUAGCUAGUUGGUGGGGUAAAGGCCUACCAAGGCGACGAUCCAUAGCUGGUCUGAGAGGAUGAUCAGCCACACUGGGACUGAGACACGGCCCAGACUCCUACGGGAGGCAGCAGUGGGGAAUAUUGGACAAUGGGCGCAAGCCUGAUCCAGCCAUGCCGCGUGAGUGAUGAAGGCCCUAGGGUUGUAAAGCUCUUUCAACGGUGAAGAUAAUGACGGUAACCGUAGAAGAAGCCCCGGCUAACUUCGUGCCAGCAGCCGAC